UAAUCAAACUGGGAAAUAGCUCGUACUCCCCGAAAUGUUUUUAGGAACAGCGUCGGCAUUAAGUUUCAUAGAGGUAGAGCUACUAAUUGGGUGCGGGGGAGUCAAAUCCUACCAAAUCCAGAUAAACUCCGAAUGCUAAUGAAAUAUGGCCGGCAGUGAGGCGCGGGGUGCUAAGGUCACGCGCCGAGAGGGAAAGAACCCAGACCAUCAGCUAAGGUCCCCAAGUGUACGCUAAGUUGAACUAACGAGGUCCGAUUGCACAGACAGCUAGGAUGUUGGCUUGGAAGCAGCCAUUCAUUUAAAGAGUGCGUAACAGCUCACUAGUCGAGCGAUCGGGCAUGGAUAAUAAACGGGCAUUAAGUGUAUCACCGAAGCUAUGGACUCGAAAGAGUGGUAGGGGAGCAUUCUAACAUCAGUGAAGCUAUACGCGUCAGCGGUGGUGGAGAGGUUAGAAAAGCAAAUGUAGGCAUAAGUAACGAUAAGGCGGGAGAGAAACCCGCCCACCGAAAGACUAAGGUUUCCUGAUCAACGCUAAUCGGAUCAGGGUUAGUCGGGGCCUAAGACAAACCCAAACGGGGUAGUCGAUGGACAACAUGUUAAUAUUCAUGUACCGGCUCAACUGCGAUGGGGUGGUGGAGUAGUGAAAGGUCUGCGUACUGACGGAAUAGUACGUUGAAGGGUGUAGAUAUAUUUGGAGUAGGCAAAUCCGCUUCGAAUGUCGAACCUGAUAGUACCGUGAGCCUUCGGGCAAGCGGAUAAUGACCCUAAUCAGACUCACAAGAAAAACCCCUAAGCUUCAGGUUGAAGCCGCCCGUACCGGAAACCGACACAGGUGGUCGAGGAGAGUAUCCAAAGGUGCUCGAGUGAAUCAUGGCUAAGGAACUAGGCAAAUUAGUCCUGUAACUUCGGGAAAAAGGACCCCCACUUUGUGGGGCGCAGAGAAAUGGCCCAGGCGACUGUUUAUCAAAAACACAUGGCUUUGCUAAAUCGAAAGAUGACGUAUAAGGCCUGACACCUGCCCGGUGCUGGAAGGUUAAGAGGAGAGGUUAGUCGCAAGGCGAAGCUUUGAAUUGAAGCCCCAGUAAACGGCGGCCGUAACUAUAACGGUCCUAAGGUAGCGAAAUUCCUUGUCGGGUAAGUUCCGACCUGCACGAAUGGUGUAACGAUCUGGGCACUGUCUCAGCCAUGAGCUCGGUGAAAUUGUAGUUCCGGUGAAGAUGCCGGAUACCCGCAACGGGACGGAAAGACCCCGUGCACCUUCACUAUAACUUUGCAUUGACUGUGAAUAAACGAUGUGUAGGAUAGGUGGGAGAUUGUGAAGCGGAGGCGCCAGCUUUCGUGGAAUCAACCUUGAAAUACCACCCUUUGUUUAUUUGUAGCCUAAUCCCCAACGGGAGACAUUGCAUGGUGGGUAGUUUGACUGGGGUGGUCGCCUCCAAAAGAGUAACGGA
Molecule: ribosomal RNA, 1451 nt
Filed under: activated sludge metagenome
Description: bacterial LSU rRNA
Rfam family: Bacterial large subunit ribosomal RNA
Source: RNAcentral